GGGCCCGUAGCUCAGCCCGGAUAGAGCGGCGGGUCUUCUAAGCCGUAGGUCGUGGGUUCGAAUCCCAUCGGGCCCGCCA
RNAcentral lists this transfer RNA (79 nucleotides) under Pyrobaculum sp. RNAcentral's name for it is "tRNA-Arg". It matches the Rfam family "tRNA". Rfam says of the family: Transfer RNA (tRNA) molecules are approximately 80 nucleotides in length. Their secondary structure includes four short double-helical elements and three loops (D, anti-codon, and T loops). Further hydrogen bonds mediate the characteristic L-shaped molecular structure. tRNAs have two regions of fundamental functional importance: the anti-codon, which is responsible for specific mRNA codon recognition, and the 3' end, to which the tRNAs corresponding amino acid is attached (by aminoacyl-tRNA synthetases). tRNAs cope with the degeneracy of the genetic code in two manners: having more than one tRNA (with a specific anti-codon) for a particular amino acid; and 'wobble' base-pairing, i.e. permitting non-standard base-pairing at the 3rd anti-codon position. Lineage: Archaea; Thermoproteati; Thermoproteota; Thermoprotei; Thermoproteales; Thermoproteaceae. The record is from RNAcentral.